ACACUUUACCUGUAUCACAUCUUUGUGUUGUUUUAGAUGCUGUCAUCCUUUGGGAUGUUGAUGGUAAAUUACUAACCUGAAUGUCAGCAAGGAGACAUCAAUAAUGGUGUAUGCUGGUUUAUAUCACGGAAGUGAGAAUCUCUGUAAAGCUGA
Amphimedon queenslandica is the source of this 153-nucleotide long non-coding RNA. RefSeq lists it as uncharacterized. NCBI's taxonomy places the organism in Eukaryota, Metazoa, Porifera, Demospongiae, Haplosclerida, Niphatidae. The record is from RefSeq and is a predicted model, not a curated record. The transcript has 2 exons.